UUUACUCAGCAACCAACAGUACAAUAGAGUGCCCAUUUCUUUGCUUAAAUAGUGGCUAUUGUAACUAAUUUCUCUUGUUUUUUUUGCCAGUUUUAUAGGUGGAAACUGAACUUACAUUUGACUACUAAGUUUGAACAUAUUCUUAUCUUCAAUGAUUUAAACUGUCCUCUUUGGCCACAUUCCGACCUACUCCUAACCGAAGACAGCCUGAUUUGGAGUCCUUGAUCUGUGAUGAUGACAACCUUAACCCCUGUAAAACACAGCGCUUACAACCUGUCAAGAAUCUGCAGAUGAUAAGAGAACAAAGAAAUGUGCUCUGUGAGGAAACUAAAGGCCUGCGCGUAAUGCAAAGAGCUGUAGCCAGUGCCAAUCAGUGAGGAAACUGCCUUUUUUAUGUACAGCUCAGCCAGCAGUGCCCCUGAGCACCCCUAUAUCUGCACUACCCUGUUUCCUUUGUGUAGACCUGGGCUCCCUCCUGCAUUUGUGAAUUCUGUUCAAAAUGCAUGUUUUUAGGAUGUAUAUGCCUAGUUAAAAUAUGUUCUUCAAACAUAUACUUUAAGCAAAACCACUCAGGAGGGUGUAGGCCUUGUCAUACUUUGUUACCUGGAAUGCUAUCCGGCACUGGUCAUUUAAGUCAAUAAGGAAAGAUCUACUGACAUCAGGUUGCAUGGAAGAUAGUGCUGUAUGUAUUACAGAUACAUACACACAAAGAAAAGAGUUGGGAAUUCAAGGCAUACACUUAUAAAAAGAUAGUCACACACAUCAACAAAACAAAAAGGCAUCCUACAGUAUGGGAGAUUAUAUUUGUAAAUGACAUAUCCGACAAGGGGUUAACAUCCAA
Non-coding RNA from Manis javanica (Malayan pangolin), 841 nucleotides. NCBI's taxonomy places the organism in Eukaryota, Metazoa, Chordata, Mammalia, Pholidota, Manidae. The record is from RefSeq and is a predicted model, not a curated record.